RNAcentral lists this ribosomal RNA (274 nucleotides) under uncultured bacterium. Its description in RNAcentral is "partial 16S ribosomal RNA". It matches the Rfam family "Bacterial small subunit ribosomal RNA", at positions 523 to 796 of the family's 1533-position model. The record is from RNAcentral.
CUACGGAGGGUGCAAGCGUUACUCGGAAUCACUGGGCGUAAAGCGCGCGCAGGCGGCCCGAGAAGUUGGAAGUGAAAUCCUAUGGCUUAACCAUAGAACUGCUCCCAAGACUGUCGGGCUAGAGUCUGGGAGGGGAAGAUGGAAUUAGUUGUGUAGGGGUAAAAUCCGUAGAGAUAACUAGGAAUACCAAAAGCGAAGGCGAUCUUCUGGAACAGUACUGACGCUGAGGCGCGAAAGCGUGGGGAGCAAACAGGAUUAGAAACCCCAGUAGUCC